This is a small nuclear RNA of Molossus molossus (Pallas's mastiff bat), 107 nucleotides long. The record is from RefSeq and is a predicted model, not a curated record. NCBI's taxonomy places the organism in Eukaryota, Metazoa, Chordata, Mammalia, Chiroptera, Molossidae.
GCACUGGCUCCAACAGCACAGACACCAAAAGUGGAACGAUGCAGAGAGGAUGAGCAUGGCCCCUGGGCAAGGAGGACAUGCGAAUGUGUGAAGCAUUUUAUAGUUUU